GACUGCUUGGCGAAAUGGUAUCGCGUCACUUUCCGGCAGGGGAACUUGGUGAAGAUUGCGGGUUCGAGUCCCGUGGCGGUCG
Molecule: transfer RNA, 82 nt
Filed under: Hypoxylon rubiginosum
Lineage: Eukaryota; Fungi; Ascomycota; Sordariomycetes; Xylariales; Hypoxylaceae
Description: tRNA-Arg
Rfam family: tRNA
About the family: Transfer RNA (tRNA) molecules are approximately 80 nucleotides in length.
Source: RNAcentral